This 443-nucleotide ribosomal RNA is filed under the name uncultured bacterium. Its description in RNAcentral is "partial 16S ribosomal RNA". It matches the Rfam family "Bacterial small subunit ribosomal RNA", at positions 338 to 795 of the family's 1533-position model. The record is from RNAcentral.
CCUACUGGAGGCUGCAGUGGGGAAUAUUGGGCAAUGGGCGCAAGCCUGACCCAGCAACGCCGCGUGAAGGAAGAAGGCUUUCGGGUUGUAAACUUCUUUUCUGAGGGACGAAGAAAGUGAAGGUACCUCAGGAAUAAGCCACGGCUAACUCCGUGCCAGCAGCCGCGGUAAUACGUAGGUGGCAAGCGUUAUCCGGAUGUAUUGUGUGUAAAGGGCGUGUAGGCGGGAAAGCAAGUCAGAUGUGAAAACUCAGGGAUCAACCCUGAUCCUGCAUUUGAAACUGUUUAUCUUGAGUGCUGGAGAGGCAAUCGGAAUUCCGUGUGUAGCGGUGAAAUGCGUAGAUAUACGGAGGAACACCAGUGGCGAAGGCGGAUUGCUGGACAGUAACUGACGCUGAGGCGCGAAAGCGUGGGGAGCAAACAGGAUUAGAUACCCCGGUAGUC